GACGAACGCUGGCGGCGUGCUUAACACAUGCAAGUCGAGCGGAAAGGCCCCUUCGGUGGUACUCGAGCGGCGAACGGGUGAGUAACACGUGAGUAAUCUGCCCCUGGCUUUGGGAUAGCCACCGGAAACGGUGAUUAAUACCGGAUACGACCACUUCUCGCAUGGGAUGGUGGUGGAAAGUUUUUUCGGCCAGGGAUGUGCUCGCGGCCUAUCAGCUUGAUGGUGAGGUGAUGGCUCACCAUGGCUUCGACGGGUAGCCGGCCUGAGAGGGUGACCGGUCUCACUGGGACUGAGACACGGCCCAGACUCCUACGGGAGGCAGCAGUGGGGAAUAUUGGACAAUGGGCGGAAGCCUGAUCCAGCAACGCCGCGUGAGGGAUGACGGCCUUCGGGUUGUAAACCUCUUUCAGCAGGGACGAAGCGCAAGUGACGGUACCUGCAGAAGAAGCACCGGCCAACUACGUGCCAGCCGCCGCCGUAA
This 481-nucleotide ribosomal RNA is filed under the name uncultured bacterium. RNAcentral's name for it is "partial 16S ribosomal RNA". It matches the Rfam family "Bacterial small subunit ribosomal RNA", at positions 28 to 523 of the family's 1533-position model. The record is from RNAcentral.